CCCUUAGAUGUUCUGGGCCGCACGCGCGCUACAAUGGUCUUCGCAGACGGAUGCAUUCUCGAAGGAGAAUGCCAAUCUUGGAAUCUAUGCCUUGGUCGGGACAGUUGCUUGCAAUUUUUCGACUCGAACCAGGAAUUCCUUGUAAUCGUGAUUCAUCACAUCACGAUGAAUACGUCCCUGCCCUUUGUACACACCGCCCGUCGCUCCUACCGAUCGAAGAGUUAGGUGAAUUGUUUUGAUCGAUAAGAUUUGACUAUGGUCAACUCUCGUUGUGAAAUUCUGUGAAUCUGACUGUUUAGAGGAAGGAAAAGUCGUAACA
Molecule: ribosomal RNA, 319 nt
Filed under: uncultured eukaryote
Lineage: Eukaryota
Description: partial 18S ribosomal RNA
Rfam family: Eukaryotic small subunit ribosomal RNA
Source: RNAcentral